RNAcentral lists this ribosomal RNA (506 nucleotides) under uncultured bacterium. RNAcentral's name for it is "partial 16S ribosomal RNA". It matches the Rfam family "Bacterial small subunit ribosomal RNA", at positions 30 to 523 of the family's 1533-position model. The record is from RNAcentral.
AUUGAACGCUGGCGGCAUGCCUUACACAUGCAAGUCGAACGGCAGCACGGUCUAGUUUACUAGAUGGGUGGCGAGUGGCGAACGGGUGAGUAACGCGUAGGAAUAUACCUUAAAGUGGGGGACAACUUGGGGAAACUCAAGCUAAUACCGCAUGAGCUCUUAGGAGGAAAGCUGGGGACCGCAAGGCCUGGCGCUUUAAGAAUAGCCUGCGUCCGAUUAGCUAGUUGGUAGGGUAAAGGCCUACCAAGGCGACGAUCGGUAGCUGGUCUGAGAGGAUGAUCAGCCACACUGGAACUGAGACACGGUCCAGACUCCUACGGGAGGCAGCAGUGGGGAAUAUUGGACAAUGGGGGCAACCCUGAUCCAGCAAUGCCGCGUGUGUGAAGAAGGCCUGAGGGUUGUAAAGCACUUUCAGUGGGGAGGAGGUAACCUAGGUUAAGAGCUAGGGUUAUGGACGUUACCCACAGAAGAAGCACCGGCUAACUCCGUGCCAGCAGCCGCAGUAA